RNAcentral lists this long non-coding RNA (514 nucleotides) under Manihot esculenta (cassava). Its description in RNAcentral is "long non-coding RNA (MESC_LNC004892)". Lineage: Eukaryota; Viridiplantae; Streptophyta; Magnoliopsida; Malpighiales; Euphorbiaceae. The record is from RNAcentral.
AUUAAUCAAAUAGCAAAUAAUUAAAUUUUUUAACAUAUCCAAAUAAUCAGAUUAAUAGUUCAUAAAUUAUAAAAUUCUUUAAGAACAUACACAUAAAAGAUCUUGAAACCUGAAGAGAGUUAUAGUCAAAGCAGAUGUCGCCGAUUGAGGAGAGAAGGGUUGUCUCUAGCGUCAGUGAAGUGCGGGGAGAGAAGCGUAAAUCGAAAAGAGUAGAUUUCACCCGACUGGGGAGAGAGAAGGAGAUAUCGCCGACGCCGACCGAGCAGAGGGAAGAGUUGUCUUCAACUGGAAAGUCGGAGAUGUCGCCGCUGGAGAGAGAGAAGGAGAUAUUGCUGACGGGGGAGAGAGAAGAUUUAUCGUCGACUGGGGAGAGAAAGGAGACGUCGCCGGUGACGACUGGGCUGCCGGCAGUCGUCAGUGAAGUGGGGGAGAGGCGUGACUGAGAACUAUGGGAAGGGAAGCGAGGGAGAGAGAGAGACGUAGACGAAGAGAGGAAAGAGUAAAAUGAAAAAAU